UACGUAGGGUGCGAGCGUUGUCCGGAAUUAUUGGGCGUAAAGAGCUUGUAGGCGGUUUGUCGCGUCUGCUGUGAAAAUCCGGGGCUCAACCCCGGACUUGCAGUGGGUACGGGCAGGCUAGAGUGUGGUAGGGGAGACUGGAAUUCCUGGUGUAGCGGUGAAAUGCGCAGAUAUCAGGAGGAACACCGAUGGCGAAGGCAGGGCUCUGGGCCACUACUGACGCUGAGAAGCGAAAGCAUGGGGAGCGAACAGG
RNAcentral lists this ribosomal RNA (253 nucleotides) under uncultured bacterium. Its description in RNAcentral is "partial 16S ribosomal RNA". It matches the Rfam family "Bacterial small subunit ribosomal RNA", at positions 524 to 776 of the family's 1533-position model. The record is from RNAcentral.